Molecule: transfer RNA, 63 nt
Filed under: Bungarus multicinctus (many-banded krait)
Lineage: Eukaryota; Metazoa; Chordata; Lepidosauria; Squamata; Elapidae
Description: tRNA-Phe
Source: RNAcentral
GUACUGUAGCUUACGAUUAAAGCAUAGCACUGAAAAUGCUAAGACGGCACUCGCCUGGUAACA